This 259-nucleotide ribosomal RNA is filed under the name uncultured bacterium. RNAcentral describes it as "partial 16S ribosomal RNA". It matches the Rfam family "Bacterial small subunit ribosomal RNA", at positions 524 to 782 of the family's 1533-position model. The record is from RNAcentral.
UACGUAGGGUGCAAGCGUUAAUCGGAAUUACUGGGCGUAAAGCGUGCGCAGGCGGUGAUGUAAGACAGAUGUGAAAUCCCCGGGCUCAACCUGGGAACUGCGUUUGAAACUACAAGGCUAGAGUGUAGCAGAGGGGGGUAGAAUUCCACGUGUAGCAGUGAAAUGCGUAGAGAUGUGGAGGAAUACCAAUGGCGAAGGCAGCCCCCUGGGUUAACACUGACGCUCAUGCACGAAAGCGUGGGGAGCAAACAGGAUUAGA